CUUAUCUACAAUGACGGCCUAACCCGGACAACAUUGGGCCAAUUGUGCGCUGCCCUAUGGUAAUCACGGCCGGUUGUGAUACAGCCUGGAAUCGAACCGGGGUCUGUAGUGAUUCCUCCAGCACUGAGAUGCAGUGCCUUUAGACCGCUGCGCCACUCGGGGGAAAUAGUAGGCAGCAUCUUCUUGAUGUGUGCAACAGUUCAACAUUCUCCUUCUACUACCAUUUCUGUCAAACCAUCUACACAUACAGUUUGAUCACAUACAUUCGAUAAAUCCAACGUACUGUAUGAACCACACAGAACACACUGCAACUGCCUCUGCAACGCUAUGCUGCAAAGGAAACGCAGCGCUUCAUUGGAAAUUAAUGUAGUUCCGGUUUACCAAAAUGCUAUGACGCUGUCGGUGUGUUCGAGGCGUAAGAGCAGUGACUCCGUCGGUGUGUUCGAGGCGUAAGGGCAGGGGAGAGCACAGUGACUCUGUCGGUGUGUUCGAGGCGUAAGGGCAGGGGAGAGCAGUGACUCUGUCGGUGUGUUCGAGGCGUAAGAGCAGGGGAGAGCAGUGACAGACUGGAGCCUGGCCUGUAUGGCUUCAUCAUGUGGCCACCUAGUCACAGCCUUGCCUGGUGUGAACAUAUUCACUUUUUCUGUGGGUGGGAAGGGGUGUAUGAUGGGGUGUUAUUCUCAAUUGAUUCUAUGUAUUUGUCUUCAUGUGGACAAUAAAGUAUAUCAUUCACUACCUUUCAAAAGUUUGGAGUCACUUAGAAAUGUCCCUUGUUUUUGAAAGAAAAUCACUUUUUUUCCCUCCCCAUUUUUAAAAUAACAUCAAAUUGAUCAGAAUUACAGUGUAGACAUUGUUAAUGUUGUAAAUGACUAUUGUAGCUGGAAAUUGAGGACUUGAGGUGCCUGUUUCUCAAACUAGACACUAAUGUACUUGUCCCUAGCUCAGUUGUUCACCGGGGCCUCCCACUCCUCUUUCUAUUCUGGUUAGAACCAGUUUGCGCUGUUCUGUGAAGGGAGUAGUACACAGCGUUGUACGAGAUCUUCAGUUUCUUGGAAAUUUCUCGCAUGGAAUAGCCUUCAUUUCUCAGAACAAGAAUAGACUGACGAGUUUCAGAAGAAAGUUCUUUGUUUCUGGCCAUUUUGAGCCUGUAAUCAAACCCACAAAUGCUGAUGCUCCAGAUACUCAACUAGUCUAAAGGCCAGUUUUAUUGCUUCUUUAAAUCAGAACAACAGUUUUCAGCUGUGCUAACAUAAUUGCAAAAGGGUUUUCUAAUGAUCAAUUAGCCUUUUAAAAUGAUAAACUUGGAUUAGCUAACACAACGUGCCAUUGGAACACAGGAGGGAUGGUUGCUGAUAAUGGGCC
Long non-coding RNA from Oncorhynchus tshawytscha (Chinook salmon), 1362 nucleotides. The record is from Ensembl. Lineage: Eukaryota; Metazoa; Chordata; Actinopteri; Salmoniformes; Salmonidae.